CCUACGGGAGGCAGCAGUGAGGAAUAUUGGUCAAUGGUCGGGAGACUGAACCAGCCAAGCCGCGUGAGGGAGGAAGGUACAGAGUAUCGUAAACCUCUUUUGUCAGGGAACAAAGACUGGGACGCGUCCCCGGAUGAGUUUACCUGAAGAAAAAGCAUCGGCUAACUCCGUGCCAGCAGCCGCGGUAAUACGGAGGAUGCGAGCGUUAUCCGGAUUUGUGGGGUUUAAAGGGUGCGCAGGCGGUCUGUUAUGUCAGCGGUCAAAGCACGGGGCCAAACCCCGCCCCGCCGUUGAAACUGGCAGUCUCGAGUUGGAGAGAAGUAGGCGGAAUGCGCGGUGUAGCGGUGAAAUGCAUAGAUAUCGCGCAGAACUCCGAUUGCGAAGGCAGCAUGCCGGCUCCACACUGACGCUGAGGCACGAAAGCGUGGGUAUCGAACAGGAUUAGAUACCCCUGUAGUC
This 459-nucleotide ribosomal RNA is filed under the name uncultured bacterium. Its description in RNAcentral is "partial 16S ribosomal RNA". It matches the Rfam family "Bacterial small subunit ribosomal RNA", at positions 338 to 795 of the family's 1533-position model. The record is from RNAcentral.